GUCUAUGGCCAUGCCACCUUGAACACGCCUGAUCUCGUCUGAUCUCGGAAGCUAAGCAGAGUCGGGUCUGGUUAGCACUUGGAUGGGAGAAAUGCACAUUCUCGGCA
This 107-nucleotide ribosomal RNA is filed under the name Sus scrofa (pig). The record is from RNAcentral. Lineage: Eukaryota; Metazoa; Chordata; Mammalia; Artiodactyla; Suidae.